RNAcentral lists this long non-coding RNA (226 nucleotides) under Amborella trichopoda. RNAcentral describes it as "long non-coding RNA (ATRI_LNC003226)". The record is from RNAcentral. Lineage: Eukaryota; Viridiplantae; Streptophyta; Magnoliopsida; Amborellales; Amborellaceae.
GGGCGGUUCGUUGAUGAUUAUCCUGAGGAGUUCUAUCAACUAGUAGUACGGAAAAACUUAUCUGAGACUGAAGAGCAACAGGUUGCUCGAUGUAUUGCAGGACUGCGCCAAUCAAUUCAGGACGUCCUAAGUUUAUACUCUUUAUGGAUUAUAUCGAAAACUUAUCAACAGGCUUUAACAGUAGAGAAGCAACAGUUCAGGAGUAGGGCUAGUGCAGCCAGGAGAG